ACGAACGCUGGCGGCGUGCCUAAUACAUGCCAGUUGAGCGCUGAAGGUUGGUACUUGUACCAACUGGAUGAGCAGCGAACGGGUGAGUAACGCGUGGGGAAUCUGCCUUUGAGCGGGGGACAACAUUUGGAAACGAAUGCUAAUACCGCAUAAAAACUUUAAACACAAGUUUUAAGUUUGAAAGAUGCAAUUGCAUCACUCAAAGAUGAUCCCGCGUUGUAUUAGCUAGUUGGUGAGGUAAAGGCUCACCAAGGCGAUGAUACAUAGCCGACCUGAGAGGGUGAUCGGCCACAUUGGGACUGAGACACGGCCCAAACUCCUACGGGAGGCAGCAGUAGGGAAUCUUCGGCAAUGGACGAAAGUCUGACCGAGCAACGCCGCGUGAGUGAAGAAGGUUUUCGGAUCGUAAAACUCUGUUGGUAGAGAAGAACGUUGGUGAGAGUGGAAAGCUCAUCAAGUGACGGUAACUACCCAGAAAGGGACGGCUAACUACGUG
This 496-nucleotide ribosomal RNA is filed under the name uncultured bacterium. RNAcentral's name for it is "partial 16S ribosomal RNA". It matches the Rfam family "Bacterial small subunit ribosomal RNA", at positions 29 to 507 of the family's 1533-position model. The record is from RNAcentral.